AACGAACGCUGGCGGCAUGCCUAACACAUGCAAGUCGAACGAAGGCUUCGGCCUUAGUGGCGCACGGGUGCGUAACGCGUGGGAAUCUGCCCUUAGGUUCGGAAUAACAGUUAGAAAUGACUGCUAAUACCGGAUGAUGACGUAAGUCCAAAGAUUUAUCGCCUGAGGAUGAGCCCGCGUAGGAUUAGCUAGUUGGUGUGGUAAAGGCGCACCAAGGCGACGAUCCUCAGCUGGUCUGAGAGGAUGAUCAGCCACACUGGGACUGAGACACGGCCCAGACUCCUACGGGAGGCAGCAGUGGGGAAUAUUGGACAAUGGGCGCAAGCCUGAUCCAGCAAUGCCGCGUGAGUGAUGAAGGCCUUAGGGUUGUAAAGCUCUUUUACCCGUGAUGAUAAUGACAGCAGCGGGAGAAUAAGCCCCGGCUAACUCCGUG
This 433-nucleotide ribosomal RNA is filed under the name uncultured bacterium. RNAcentral's name for it is "partial 16S ribosomal RNA". It matches the Rfam family "Bacterial small subunit ribosomal RNA", at positions 29 to 507 of the family's 1533-position model. The record is from RNAcentral.